GGACCCAUGGCGCAGUGGUAGCGCGUGAGAUUCCAGUCCUCAAGGUCAUCCGUUCAAAUCGGGUUGGGUUCA
Molecule: transfer RNA, 72 nt
Filed under: Cristinia sonorae
Lineage: Eukaryota; Fungi; Basidiomycota; Agaricomycetes; Agaricales; Stephanosporaceae
Rfam family: tRNA
About the family: Transfer RNA (tRNA) molecules are approximately 80 nucleotides in length. Their secondary structure includes four short double-helical elements and three loops (D, anti-codon, and T loops).
Source: Rfam by way of RNAcentral